UCUUGGAUCUCAUCUCCAAUCUCCUCUCCGAUAUUAUCUUCAAGGUCGAGCUACUCUCGUUGGUUCGAUCUUUCGUACUGGAGAUCGAAAGACCCCUCGAUUUCAGGUCUUAUGCGGGGACUGGAAACCCUAGCAGUCGUUUUGUUUUUGGGCCGAGAAGUCUGCAAAACCCUAUCUCAGUUCAACUGGUUGCUUAGAGAUUAUCUAAAGGCUCAAUGCUGAGGGUUGGAUCAACCAAUCUCUUCUCAUGAUCUCUGACCAAAUCAGGAGAUUCAAUCUUUGCUAUUGGAGAACGGAAGGAGAACUU
Molecule: long non-coding RNA, 307 nt
Organism: Asparagus officinalis (garden asparagus)
Lineage: Eukaryota; Viridiplantae; Streptophyta; Magnoliopsida; Asparagales; Asparagaceae
Exons: 3
Source: RefSeq, a predicted model, not a curated record